RNAcentral lists this ribosomal RNA (345 nucleotides) under uncultured Flavobacteriaceae bacterium. RNAcentral's name for it is "bacterial LSU rRNA". It matches the Rfam family "Bacterial large subunit ribosomal RNA", at positions 1 to 361 of the family's 2925-position model. The record is from RNAcentral. Lineage: Bacteria; Pseudomonadati; Bacteroidota; Flavobacteriia; Flavobacteriales; Flavobacteriaceae.
AAUAGGCUAAUUAAGAGCGUAAGGGGAAUGCCUUGGCUCUCAGAGGCGAUGAAGGACGUGAUAAGCUGCGAUAAGCUGUGGGGAGUGGCACAAACACUUUGAUCCGCAGAUUUCCGAAUGGGGUAACCCGGCAUAUUGAAGAUAUGUCACACUGUAAAGUGAGCGAACCUGGUGAACUGAAACAUCUAAGUAACCAGAGGAAUAGAAAACAAAAGUGAUUCCGCUAGUAGUGGCGAGCGAACGUGGAACAGCCUAAACCUAUGUUGUUAAGGCAAUAUAGGGGUUGUAGGACCUCAACAUUUAAUGCUAAUAGAACUAGAAUUUACUGGAAAGUAAAACCAUAGA